Molecule: ribosomal RNA, 433 nt
Filed under: Campylobacter jejuni
Lineage: Bacteria; Pseudomonadati; Campylobacterota; Epsilonproteobacteria; Campylobacterales; Campylobacteraceae
Description: partial 23S ribosomal RNA
Rfam family: Bacterial large subunit ribosomal RNA
Source: RNAcentral
UGUGAAGUUACUUAAACAACCAGGAGGUUGGCUUAGAAGCAGCCAUCCUUUAAAGAAAGCGUAAUAGCUCACUGGUCUAGUGAUUUUGCGCGGAAAAUAUAACGGGGCUAAAGUAAGUACCGAAGCUGUAGACUUAGUUUACUAAGUGGUAGGAGAGCGUUCUAUUUGCGUCGAAGGUAUACCGGUAAGGAGUGCUGGAGCGAAUAGAAGUGAGCAUGCAGGCAUGAGUAGCGAUAAUUAAUGUGAGAAUCAUUAACGCCGUAAACCCAAGGUUUCCUACGCGAUGCUCGUCAUCGUAGGGUUAGUCGGGUCCUAAGUCGAGUCCGAAAGGGGUAGACGAUGGCAAAUUGGUUAAUAUUCCAAUACCAACAUUAGUGUGCGAUGGAAGGACGCUUAGGGCUAAGGGGGCUAGCGGAUGGAAGUGCUAGUCUAA